CUACGGGAUGCAGCAGUGGGGAAUAUUGCACAAUGGGGGAAACCCUGAUGCAGCGACGCCGCGUGAAGGAUGAAGGAUUUUGGUUCGUAAACUUCUAUCAGCAGGGAAGAUAGUGACUGUACCUGACUAAGAAGCCCCGGCUAACUACGUGCCAGCAGCCGCGGUAAUACGUAGGGGGCAAGCGUUAUCCGGAAUUACUGGGUGUAAAGGGUGCGUAGGCGGCUGAUUAAGCCAGAUGUGAAAGCCCGGGGCUCAACCUCGGGACUGCAUUUGGAACCGGUCGGCUAGAAUACAGGAGAGGUAAGUGGAAUUCCUAGUGUAGCGGUGAAAUGCGUAGAUAUUAGGAGGAACACCAGUGGCGAAGGCGACUUACUGGACUGUUAUUGACGCUGAGGCACGAAAGCGUGGGGAGCGAACAGGAUUAGAUACCCCCGUAGUC
RNAcentral lists this ribosomal RNA (439 nucleotides) under uncultured bacterium. RNAcentral describes it as "partial 16S ribosomal RNA". It matches the Rfam family "Bacterial small subunit ribosomal RNA", at positions 339 to 795 of the family's 1533-position model. The record is from RNAcentral.